This is a long non-coding RNA of Musa acuminata AAA Group (dessert banana), 925 nucleotides long. RefSeq lists it as uncharacterized. The transcript has 2 exons. NCBI's taxonomy places the organism in Eukaryota, Viridiplantae, Streptophyta, Magnoliopsida, Zingiberales, Musaceae. The record is from RefSeq and is a predicted model, not a curated record.
CUUGACAGCACGAUCGAGGAAGACUACCCACGGAAGAAGGCUAAGGUCGUAGACCCGCAAGAUGUCCGAGGCGACGGCGGCUUUGGAGGCUACCACCACUCGGGGGCGAGUGCGGAGAAAGCUCUUGGGGCGUCUCCCAAGGCGAAGAUGUUAGCGAGAGCACGUGCAGUAAGGAGUGUGCUCCCUCGUCGGGAGAGGAGUCCAAGAGGUCGGCUCUUCCGGAGUCGAUGCAAGAUCUUUACUGUGUCCGAGCGUGAACCAAAAAAGAGCCUUUCCAGACCCUAUCAAUGGGUGAAUUACCUAAUGGCAAGGCGGAGACUCCCCUCGAGCUGCAAUGGUCGGGGCUGACCGUGGGGAGCCGUGUGUGGACCAACGGCUUCUUGUCCUCGGUGUAUGUCCGAGGUGCGCUCAUGUCGGCAAUAUCUAAGCAGGUGUAUACCUCCUUGUCGGAGGUGCUGAUCAACAAAGUCACCAAGUCCUUGGUCUGGAACCAGCACUACUACAUGCGGCUGAUAGAUCGGGUUUAUGAUGCGGGUCGGGUAAUCAGCGGUAAGGCGAGCUACGAGAAUAGCUCACGGAGGCUCAACGCAUGUUAAGGAAUCCCAUGGGAGGGUCCGCUCAAUGGAGGGUGAGCUAUUGGACUUGUCGUCGGGCCUGGAGGCCGCUCGAGCAGAGACGAAGAAGGCCGAGGAAGCCCUCACCGAGAAGACCCAAGUGGCACUUGAAAAGGGCAAGAGGACCAUAUCAGAGUACAAGAAUUCGUGUGCUUUCAGCUCGGUCUACAAAGAUCAGGGCAGGUUACUUAUGAAUACGAGUACCGAGAUGGCGAUCGAUCUAGUAUUAUUUUGUUUUGUAUGUCACAACCGGUCGGCCUAUGUAAACCCUUUUGGUUAUUAAUGCAACUCUAUGUUCUGAACCAGCCUAA